UGAUGAUGGUGAUGAUGAUCAUGGUCGUGAUCAUCGUGAUCGUGGUGAUGAUGAUCAUGGUCGUGAUCAUCAUGGUCA
RNAcentral lists this unclassified non-coding RNA (78 nucleotides) under Butyrivibrio sp. INlla16. RNAcentral's name for it is "microRNA mir-598". The record is from RNAcentral. Lineage: Bacteria; Bacillati; Bacillota; Clostridia; Lachnospirales; Lachnospiraceae.